RNAcentral lists this ribosomal RNA (322 nucleotides) under uncultured bacterium. RNAcentral's name for it is "bacterial SSU rRNA". It matches the Rfam family "Bacterial small subunit ribosomal RNA", at positions 28 to 351 of the family's 1533-position model. The record is from RNAcentral.
GAUGAACGCUGGCGGCGUGCCUAAUACAUGCAAGUCGAACGGAGGAUGUAGCAAUAUGUCCUCAGUGGCGAACGGGUGAGUAACGCGUUGGUGACCUGCCCCGAAGUGAGGGAUAACAGUUCGAAAGGAUUGCUAAUACCUCAUGUGGUCAUUGGGAUUAGAUGCCCGAUGACUAAAGGAGUAAUUCGCUUCGGGAGGGGCCUGCGUCCCAUCAGCUAGUUGGUAAGGUAAUGGCUUACCAAGGCUAUGACGGGUAGGGGACCUGAGAGGGUGGACCCCCACAUUGGCACUGAAACACGGGCCAAACACCUACGGGAGGCAG